This 451-nucleotide ribosomal RNA is filed under the name uncultured organism. Its description in RNAcentral is "partial 16S ribosomal RNA". It matches the Rfam family "Bacterial small subunit ribosomal RNA", at positions 334 to 801 of the family's 1533-position model. The record is from RNAcentral.
CACUCCUACGGGAGGCAGCAGUGGGGAAUAUUGGACAAUGGGCGCAAGCCUGAUCCAGCCAUGCCGCGUGAGUGAUGAAGGCCCUAGGGUUGUAAAGCUCUUUCACCGGUGAAGAUAAUGACGGUAACCGGAGAAGAAGCCCCGGCUAACUUCGUGCCAGCAGCCGCGGUAAUACGAAGGGGGCUAGCGUUGUUCGGAUUUACUGGGCGUAAAGCGCACGUAGGCGGACUAUUAAGUCAGGGGUGAAAUCCCGGGGCUCAACCCCGGAACUGCCUUUGAUACUGGUAGUCUUGAGUUCGAGAGAGGUGAGUGGAAUUCCGAGUGUAGAGGUGAAAUUCGUAGAUAUUCGGAGGAACACCAGUGGCGAAGGCGGCUCACUGGCUCGAUACUGACGCUGAGGUGCGAAAGCGUGGGGAGCAAACAGGAUUAGAUACCCUUGUAGUCCCAUGAU